GCAGAUAUAGCUCAGUGAUAGAGCACAUGCUUAGCAUGCAGGAGGUCCUGGGUUCAAGCUCCAGUACCUCCA
This 72-nucleotide transfer RNA is filed under the name Camelus bactrianus (Bactrian camel). It matches the Rfam family "tRNA". From Rfam's summary of the family: Transfer RNA (tRNA) molecules are approximately 80 nucleotides in length. Their secondary structure includes four short double-helical elements and three loops (D, anti-codon, and T loops). Further hydrogen bonds mediate the characteristic L-shaped molecular structure. tRNAs have two regions of fundamental functional importance: the anti-codon, which is responsible for specific mRNA codon recognition, and the 3' end, to which the tRNAs corresponding amino acid is attached (by aminoacyl-tRNA synthetases). tRNAs cope with the degeneracy of the genetic code in two manners: having more than one tRNA (with a specific anti-codon) for a particular amino acid; and 'wobble' base-pairing, i.e. permitting non-standard base-pairing at the 3rd anti-codon position. Lineage: Eukaryota; Metazoa; Chordata; Mammalia; Artiodactyla; Camelidae. The record is from Rfam by way of RNAcentral. RNAcentral also lists the same sequence under 2 other names.